CAGCUUGUAGUUUAUUAAAAAUAUAAAUUUUGGGUAUUUAAGAAAGAUUUUUCUUUAGCUGA
RNAcentral lists this transfer RNA (62 nucleotides) under Ceratocombus sp. HL-2012. Its description in RNAcentral is "tRNA-Pro". The record is from RNAcentral. Lineage: Eukaryota; Metazoa; Arthropoda; Insecta; Hemiptera; Ceratocombidae.